GAUGAAGAACGCAGCGAAAUGCGAUACGUAAUGUGAAUUGCAGAAUUCAGUGAAUCAUCGAAUCUUUGAACGCACAUUGCGCCCGCCAGUAUUCUGGCGGGCAUGCGUGUUCGAGCGUCAUUUCAACCAUCAAGCCCCCCGGCUUGUGUUGGGGACCUGCGGCUGCCGCAGGCCCUGAAAAGCAGUGGCGGGCUCGCUGUCACACCGAGCGUAGUAGAUCUCAUCUCGCUCAGGGCGUGCUGCGGGUUCCGGCCGUUAAACCACCUUCAUAACCCAAGGUUGACCUCGGAUCAGGUAGGAAGACCCGCUGAACUUAAGCAUAUCAAUAAGCGGAGGA
RNAcentral lists this unclassified non-coding RNA (337 nucleotides) under soil metagenome. RNAcentral describes it as "partial contains 5.8S ribosomal RNA, internal transcribed spacer 2, and large subunit ribosomal RNA". The stretch from base 1 to 120 matches the Rfam family "5.8S ribosomal RNA", at positions 35 to 154 of the family's 154-position model. The record is from RNAcentral.